This 256-nucleotide ribosomal RNA is filed under the name uncultured bacterium. RNAcentral describes it as "partial 16S ribosomal RNA". It matches the Rfam family "Archaeal small subunit ribosomal RNA", at positions 474 to 727 of the family's 1478-position model. The record is from RNAcentral.
UACCAGCACCCCGAGUGGUCGGGACGUUUUAUUGGGCCUAAAGCAUCCGUAGCCGGUUCUACAAGUCUUCCGUUAAAUCCAACUGCUUAAACAGGUGGGCUGCGGAAGAUACUAUAGAGCUAGGAGGCGGGGAGAGGCAAGCGGUACUCGAUGGGUAGGGGUAAAAUCCUUGAUCCAUUGAAGACCACCAGUGGCGAAGGCGGCUUGCCAGAACGCGCUCGACGGUGAGGGAUGAAAGCUGGGGGGAGCAAACCGG